This is a long non-coding RNA of Papilio polytes (common Mormon), 300 nucleotides long. RefSeq lists it as uncharacterized. NCBI's taxonomy places the organism in Eukaryota, Metazoa, Arthropoda, Insecta, Lepidoptera, Papilionidae. The record is from RefSeq and is a predicted model, not a curated record. The transcript has 2 exons.
CCUGCCGCCCGCGCCGCCCGCGCAGCCCCACACACCGCCUAUCAGACCACGGAGAAGUCGUCAAUCUUCUUUAGAAAAAGCUUCGCCUAUGACUUCCCAGAGCUGUGAACGAUUGUCGAGUAGCACAUCAAAAUCGACUUCCCCUGCCAAGGCUUUGCACAGCCUGCCCGAGAGACUGAUGGACGCCGAGAAGUUAUCGCGCAGAUGUCGUAGCUGCGAAGGAAUUUUAGAUGCGGAUGAGAGGCACGAGAGAAUCCCUUUGCCCACGCCCUUAGACGCUGCCACGCAGACGAAGAGGAA